CGCAGCGACAGCGCGGCGGCGGCGCCGAGCGCCGCGACGGCGCCGAUGCGCCAGAGCAGCCGAGCGGUCGUUCGGUUCGGUGUGUUGUGC
RNAcentral lists this transfer RNA (90 nucleotides) under Burkholderia oklahomensis. RNAcentral describes it as "tRNA-Ser(cga)". Lineage: Bacteria; Pseudomonadati; Pseudomonadota; Betaproteobacteria; Burkholderiales; Burkholderiaceae. The record is from RNAcentral.